CUUUGUGACACUUUUUAAAAUCCGCGGAUUUGCGCGCGCAUGAAAAACACGUGUGUUUAUUGCAAAGCAAAACAGAGAUUGGUUACUGUAUGCUCCAUUUUAAUAAAUACUCCUUUGUAUCGAACGUUUGCCAAGAGCAAGUUGUUGUUAAGUGUGUUGUAUUCUGAAGAAAUUAAUUUAAUAUUUCCGAUAGCAUUUAAAUCGCAGAAGAAUAAACAAUUAGAAGCAUGGCUUUUCAAAUGAAAAUUGAGAAAGUUCUGAUUAGCGAUAAUCUGGACAAUUGCUGCCUUGAAAUUUUAACAAAGAAUGGCAUUGAAGUCAAGGCAGAAACGAAGUUGAACAAAGAAGAAUUAUUGGCUGAAAUUCCUGUGAGUAAAAUCGUUUGUGAAGGCCUAGCUGUUUUAAUGUUUUUUGAAACUUUUCCUCGAGAUGGUUUAGUAUUUAUAUAUGAUG
Molecule: non-coding RNA, 453 nt
Organism: Paramuricea clavata
Lineage: Eukaryota; Metazoa; Cnidaria; Anthozoa; Malacalcyonacea; Plexauridae
Source: the annotation of a GenBank genome assembly